Molecule: small RNA, 521 nt
Filed under: Pongo abelii (Sumatran orangutan)
Lineage: Eukaryota; Metazoa; Chordata; Mammalia; Primates; Hominidae
Description: processed transcript
Source: RNAcentral
AGUAGCGCCGGGGCGCGCUUGCGGCCCACAGCGUCCCACGUCAGCCUUGCCCCGGCAGAGCUUCACGAGAGGAAAGGCGGGAUUCAGGGUAGGCGCGUACCCUACGAAGACGAAACGAACUUUUAAGACAACUAGAGGAGCUCGCCCCCUGCCUGUGACAGCUUAGGGUCGCCUACUUUUUGUGGACACACUGCCGUCCACGGAGUCCCGAGGCCGCCUGCAGUUUCCUUGCGUCCCUGUGAGACGCACGGUGGCGCAAUUCCCAAGCGUACCAAUCCCGGGCUGGCUGGAGGGCGGGCUCUUCAAAUUUGAAUUGCGGAAGUGUUUUUUGUGUUAGAGAACCUCGCGGAGGCGGUAAGCGUCGCUUGGCGCCUGGCCGCCGCGGGCAGGGUCCACCGUGGGCCUGAGGCGCGAGCCCGGCGGCGUCCGGCCCUUCCUUCGCGCGGAGCCGAGCCGGGACUGCGGCAGUCUCUCCCUGCCAGGCUCUUCACCCAAGGUAGUUCAGCUACAGGAAUGGAUGA